AAGUUUAGGUUAAACAAACCAAGAGCCUUCAAAGCCCUAAACAAGAGUCAAACACCCUCCUAAC
This 64-nucleotide transfer RNA is filed under the name Cyrtodactylus sp. RNAcentral's name for it is "tRNA-Trp". The record is from RNAcentral. Lineage: Eukaryota; Metazoa; Chordata; Lepidosauria; Squamata; Gekkonidae.